Molecule: ribosomal RNA, 2221 nt
Filed under: Escherichia coli
Lineage: Bacteria; Pseudomonadati; Pseudomonadota; Gammaproteobacteria; Enterobacterales; Enterobacteriaceae
Description: bacterial LSU rRNA
Rfam family: Bacterial large subunit ribosomal RNA
Source: RNAcentral
GUGUGACUGCGUACCUUUUGUAUAAUGGGUCAGCGACUUAUAUUCUGUAGCAAGGUUAACCGAAUAGGGGAGCCGAAGGGAAACCGAGUCUUAACUGGGCGUUAAGUUGCAGGGUAUAGACCCGAAACCCGGUGAUCUAGCCAUGGGCAGGUUGAAGGUUGGGUAACACUAACUGGAGGACCGAACCGACUAAUGUUGAAAAAUUAGCGGAUGACUUGUGGCUGGGGGUGAAAGGCCAAUCAAACCGGGAGAUAGCUGGUUCUCCCCGAAAGCUAUUUAGGUAGCGCCUCGUGAAUUCAUCUCCGGGGGUAGAGCACUGUUUCGGCAAGGGGGUCAUCCCGACUUACCAACCCGAUGCAAACUGCGAAUACCGGAGAAUGUUAUCACGGGAGACACACGGCGGGUGCUAACGUCCGUCGUGAAGAGGGAAACAACCCAGACCGCCAGCUAAGGUCCCAAAGUCAUGGUUAAGUGGGAAACGAUGUGGGAAGGCCCAGACAGCCAGGAUGUUGGCUUAGAAGCAGCCAUCAUUUAAAGAAAGCGUAAUAGCUCACUGGUCGAGUCGGCCUGCGCGGAAGAUGUAACGGGGCUAAACCAUGCACCGAAGCUGCGGCAGCGACGCUUAUGCGUUGUUGGGUAGGGGAGCGUUCUGUAAGCCUGUGAAGGUGUGCUGUGAGGCAUGCUGGAGGUAUCAGAAGUGCGAAUGCUGACAUAAGUAACGAUAAAGCGGGUGAAAAGCCCGCUCGCCGGAAGACCAAGGGUUCCUGUCCAACGUUAAUCGGGGCAGGGUGAGUCGACCCCUAAGGCGAGGCCGAAAGGCGUAGUCGAUGGGAAACAGGUUAAUAUUCCUGUACUUGGUGUUACUGCGAAGGGGGGACGGAGAAGGCUAUGUUGGCCGGGCGACGGUUGUCCCGGUUUAAGCGUGUAGGCUGGUUUUCCAGGCAAAUCCGGAAAAUCAAGGCUGAGGCGUGAUGACGAGGCACUACGGUGCUGAAGCAACAAAUGCCCUGCUUCCAGGAAAAGCCUCUAAGCAUCAGGUAACAUCAAAUCGUACCCCAAACCGACACAGGUGGUCAGGUAGAGAAUACCAAGGCGCUUGAGAGAACUCGGGUGAAGGAACUAGGCAAAAUGGUGCCGUAACUUCGGGAGAAGGCACGCUGAUAUGUAGGUGAAGUCCCUCGCGGAUGGAGCUGAAAUCAGUCGAAGAUACCAGCUGGCUGCAACUGUUUAUUAAAAACACAGCACUGUGCAAACACGAAAGUGGACGUAUACGGUGUGACGCCUGCCCGGUGCCGGAAGGUUAAUUGAUGGGGUCAGCGCAAGCGAAGCUCUUGAUCGAAGCCCCGGUAAACGGCGGCCGUAACUAUAACGGUCCUAAGGUAGCGAAAUUCCUUGUCGGGUAAGUUCCGACCUGCACGAAUGGCGUAAUGAUGGCCAGGCUGUCUCCACCCGAGACUCAGUGAAAUUGAACUCGCUGUGAAGAUGCAGUGUACCCGCGGCAAGACGGAAAGACCCCGUGAACCUUUACUAUAGCUUGACACUGAACAUUGAGCCUUGAUGUGUAGGAUAGGUGGGAGGCUUUGAAGUGUGGACGCCAGUCUGCAUGGAGCCGACCUUGAAAUACCACCCUUUAAUGUUUGAUGUUCUAACGUUGACCCGUAAUCCGGGUUGCGGACAGUGUCUGGUGGGUAGUUUGACUGGGGCGGUCUCCUCCUAAAGAGUAACGGAGGAGCACGAAGGUUGGCUAAUCCUGGUCGGACAUCAGGAGGUUAGUGCAAUGGCAUAAGCCAGCUUGACUGCGAGCGUGACGGCGCGAGCAGGUGCGAAAGCAGGUCAUAGUGAUCCGGUGGUUCUGAAUGGAAGGGCCAUCGCUCAACGGAUAAAAGGUACUCCGGGGAUAACAGGCUGAUACCGCCCAAGAGUUCAUAUCGACGGCGGUGUUUGGCACCUCGAUGUCGGCUCAUCACAUCCUGGGGCUGAAGUAGGUCCCAAGGGUAUGGCUGUUCGCCAUUUAAAGUGGUACGCGAGCUGGGUUUAGAACGUCGUGAGACAGUUCGGUCCCUAUCUGCCGUGGGCGCUGGAGAACUGAGGGGGGCUGCUCCUAGUACGAGAGGACCGGAGUGGACGCAUCACUGGUGUUCGGGUUGUCAUGCCAAUGGCACUGCCCGGUAGCUAAAUGCGGAAGAGAUAAGUGCUGAAAGCAUCUAAGCACGAAACUUGC